ACUCCUACGGGAGGCAGCAGUAGGGAAUAUUGCACAAUGGGGGAAACCCUGAUGCAGCCAUGCCGCGUGUGUGAAGAAGGCCUUCGGGUUGUAAAGCACUUUCAGUAGGGAGGAAGGUAGUGUAGUUAACACCUGCAUUAUUUGUACGUUACCUACAGAAGAAGCACCGGCUAACUCCGUGCCAGCAGCCGCGGUAAUACGGAGGGUGCGAGCGUUAAUCGGAAUUACUGGGCGUAAAGCGCAUGCAGGCGGCUUGUUAAGUCAGAUGUGAAGGCCCGGGGUCUUAACCUCGGAAUUGCAUUUGAAACUGGCGAGGCUAGAGUCUUGUAGAGGGGUUAGAAUUUCAGGUGUAGCGGUGAAAUGCGUAGAGAUCUGAAGG
RNAcentral lists this ribosomal RNA (379 nucleotides) under uncultured bacterium. RNAcentral describes it as "bacterial SSU rRNA". It matches the Rfam family "Bacterial small subunit ribosomal RNA", at positions 335 to 704 of the family's 1533-position model. The record is from RNAcentral.